CUACGGGUGGCUCCAGUGAGGAAUAUUGCACAAUGGGGGGAACCCUGAUGCAGCAACGCCGCGUGGAGGAUGACGCAUUUCGGUGUGUAAACUCCUUUUAUAUGUCAAGAAAAUGACGGUAGCAUAUGAAUAAGCACCGGCUAACUCCGUGCCAGCAGCCGCGGUAAUACGGAGGGUGCAAGCGUUACUCGGAAUCACUGGGCGUAAAGGACGCGUAGGCUGUUUAGCAAGUCAGAUGUGAAAUCCAAUGGCUCAACCAUUGAACUGCAUUUGAAACUGCUAGACUAGAGUAUGGGAGGGGGAGAUGGAAUUAGUGGUGUAGGGGUAAUAUCCGUAGAUAUCACUAGGAAUACCUAAAGCGAAGGCGAUCUCCUGGAACAUUACUGACGCUAAGGCGUGAAAGCGUGGGGAGCAAACAGGAUUAGAUACCCCUGUAGUC
This 439-nucleotide ribosomal RNA is filed under the name uncultured bacterium. Its description in RNAcentral is "partial 16S ribosomal RNA". It matches the Rfam family "Bacterial small subunit ribosomal RNA", at positions 339 to 795 of the family's 1533-position model. The record is from RNAcentral.